Molecule: long non-coding RNA, 571 nt
Filed under: Salvia miltiorrhiza (redroot sage)
Lineage: Eukaryota; Viridiplantae; Streptophyta; Magnoliopsida; Lamiales; Lamiaceae
Description: long non-coding RNA (SMIL_LNC004219)
Source: RNAcentral
CUAUUUCAACAUAUUGCAGCCAACCCGCCACAGCUGCUUCCGUCUCCACCAUCUUACUAACCUGAGAAGAUUGAAAAGAUUUGUGGGCUGAGUACUAGUGUACCCAGUGGGUCAUGCAUUUUUGAAAUAAUCAUUUUCAUAUGAUAGUCCAUGCACAUACGUGAAUUAUAGAAGGUUUUAAAAUAAAACAUUUAACUUCUAUAAUCACAACACAUUUUCAUUCAUUGCGCGCGCCAUACCGUAGCACCACUGUUACCCUUAUCAUUUCAUUCGUAGUCCCUCGGCGACCCCUGGGAAGUAAUCAUUCAUUCAUUCAUCAUUAACUAGAUGGGACCCCGGGACGAACCCAUGUCAGCUACACCAUCUAGCCGGAUUAAGGGCGAACCCAAAAUCCUCCUUUUGUCUAUAAGGCUCGUGGGGAUCAAUCCACUACCUUAAGACCGUGCGCACAACUUUUAAUAGGUGUGUGAGACCCAUUAAAAGCCACAAUUGUUAACAUAAGAGCAUUAAACAGUGGGAGAACGUGAAAACAUUUCAUGGACAUACCACAUUUCAAAUAAUGACAUUAGAG